ACGAACGCUGGCGGCGUGCUUAACACAUGCAAGUCGAGCGGUAAGGCCUCUUCGGGGGUACACGAGCGGCGAACGGGUGAGUAACACGUGGGCGACCUGCCCUCAGCUCUGGGAUAAGCCUGGGAAACUGGGUCUAAUACCGGAUAUGACCUCUUGUUGCAUGACUUGGGGUGGAAAGUAUGUCCUUCAUUGGGCACCUCGGCUGUGGAUGGGCCCGCGGCCUAUCAGCUUGUUGGUGGGGUGAUGGCCUACCAAGGGGACGACGGGUAGCCGGCCUGAGAGGGCGACCGGCCACACUGGGACUGAGACACGGCCCAGACUCCUACGGGAGGCAGCAGUGGGGAAUAUUGCGCAAUGGGCGGAAGCCUGACGCAGCGACGCCGCGUGGGGGAUGACGGCCUUCGGGUUGUAAACCUCUUUCGACCCUGACGAAGGCCUUCGGGUUGACGGUAGGGGUAGAAGAAGCACCGGCCAACUACGU
Molecule: ribosomal RNA, 481 nt
Filed under: uncultured bacterium
Lineage: Bacteria
Description: bacterial SSU rRNA
Rfam family: Bacterial small subunit ribosomal RNA
Source: RNAcentral